This is an unclassified non-coding RNA of 270 nucleotides. The stretch from base 1 to 46 matches the Rfam family "Eukaryotic small subunit ribosomal RNA", at positions 1786 to 1831 of the family's 1831-position model.
AAGUCGUAACAAGGUUUCCGUAGGUGAACCUGCGGAAGGAUCAUUACCGAGUUAGGGUACUCUUCGUGCCCGACCUCCAACCCUUUGUCUACCUGACCAGAUGUUGCUUCGGCAGGCCCGCCGCCCCGCGAGGAGCAGCCGCCGGGGGUCCUUACCGGCCCCGGGUCCGUGCCUGUCGAUGGCCCUUCUAAAACUCUUGCUUAAACGUGUCGUCUGAGUAAAACAAACAAAAUAGAAACAAAACUUUCAACAACGGAUCUCUUGGUUCUG